UCAAAAGUGCAAGGAAGCAGUUCAGCGUGCAGGCCCUGUGAAUGGGGGUGCCCCGCGGGGCAGAGAAUACGCGAGUGCAAGUAAACGUCUGGAAACAGCGUGCACGCCUUGGUGGUCAGCAGGUCAGCUGGCUGGAGGAAUCUCCUGCGACUGGCAGCAUUCCAUUUGUGCCUGAUGUUCCUGUAAACUCCAGCCACAACCCCUGUGGGGAGGAGGGGCUGCUGUGGAGAAUGAGAUAUGAAGUUGAAAGCUGAUGGAGUUUCACUCUGUUGUCCAGGCUGGAGUGGCACAAUCUCGGCUCACUGCAACCUCCGCCUCUGAGUUCAAGUGAUUCUCCUGCCUCGGCCUCCCAAGUAGCUGGGGAUUACAGGCACGCACCACCACACCCGGCUAAUUUUUGUAUUUUUAGUAGAGCAGAGGUUUCACCAUGUUGGCCAGGCUGGUCUCGAACUCCUGACCUCAGGUGAUCUGCCCACCUUGGCCUCCCAAAGUAUUGGGAUUACAGGCGAGAUCCACCGUGCCUGGCAUCCAUGAAAUUUUUUGAUGAAAAACUAGUUCAUAAUUUAUAAAGUGUAGAUACAAAUGUACUGCACUCAGCCUUCUUCUAUGGAAGUGAAGAUGAGAGGCUGCGUAUAUCACUCGCGAACCUUCCAGACAACUGAAGAAUAACAAUGAAUACUGCCAUCUUCCCAGAGCUCCAGCACUAAUCUUUGUUAAGGCUUAGAGGAAACCACUUUUCUCAGUUUUGAUGUCUAUGAAUCUGCAAUCACUAAUGAAUGGGGAAAAGUCUGUGAAACAUUUAUUUCCUACAUCAAUGAUUAAAAUUAGCUGUUUUUAGAGCAGAAUGAACAACAUACAAAGCAGGUUGGACGACAUCUAUUUCACACAAUUGCAUCUCAGUUUCUGACCUAGGUAAAAUCCUGCAUAAAUGUAGGAGAAUCCUCUAUAUUAAUAUGUUCUGUAUUCAGGUUUAAGAGAUGUGCAUUUACAUUUACAUUUUAUUAAUUCAUCAACUGAUACUUAAGAAUUAAAACUCUCAAAAUCAGAAGACGAUGCUUUUUGGUAAAGAAAAAAAGAAACAGGCUAUAAGUAAAAACAGGUAUAAAAAUUAACACAAAACCUUUGAGUAAUGUAUUUAUCCUAUAAGCGGAAAAUUCUGAGAAUAAUGGAGGACUGAGGGGAUUAAAAUGCCACGCAGUAGAUGGACUAUUUCAGAUUUUAUAGUCAGGGAAACUGGCUUCGGGAGGACAGCUCUCAAUUCAUGUACUUUACGUAAGAGCAGUUCUUUCUAUAGGCCAUAAAGUUGUAGGUGAUACAAUCAACUGGGUUAUAAAAUAGCUUCUUUUUAGAAUGGAGAUGAUACAAAAAUCAAUUUCUACAACCAUCAUUUCCUCCUGAACACCUCUUUCACUUUCAACCUAAACUUACUCUCCCCUUUGGGAAUUCCCAGUGUAUUUCUUUGAGAUGUCUUCCACAUUAACAGUAGAGCCUACAAAGAACCAACAUGCAGAGGCUACUUGUCAAAGGGCACUUUCUGUAGGUAGUCUAAAAGAACACAAUUAUACACAUACACAAACGUGUACAGGUAUACGCAAAAGGGAAAAGGAGAUGCAAGAGUACUGUACUACUGCUUUAACAAAUGCUCUCACCCAAUCCACCUUAUCCAUCUUACAGGAUAGAAACACUAUUUAGGGUUUAAAAUACGCAAAAAAACAUUUUUUUUAAAUAUAUAAACCAUCUAUGGAAGCAUAUUUUGCCUUCUGUUAUGACCCUCAUCAUUCCUCAACUCAUAUUCUAAAAGCCUGAGAGGUGAAAAUCUUCUGAACAGCUGAACCACCCACAGAACCUGAAAAUUAUUAUACAUUUUGCACAUGAUUAACCUAUAUUCACCACUGAGGUUUAACCAAGAACCAGAUUCACAUAGGUAAUAGGGGUCACAACUACUUUUUCAUAAAAUAUACCCUCCUACUGGCCAGGUGAGGUGGCUCACGCCUGUAAUUCCAGCACUUCAGAUUGCUUGAGCCCAGGAAUUCAAGACCAGUCUGGGCAACAUGGCAAAACCCUGUCUCUACUAAAAAUACAAAAAUUAACUGGGUGUGGUGGCACAUGCCUGUAGUCCCAGCUACUUGGGGAGGCUGAGGUGGGAUGGCUUGAGCCUGGAAGGUGAAGGUUGCAGUGAGCCAAGAUCACGACUUUGUACUUAAGUCUGGGCAACAGAGCGAGACCCUGUCUCAAAAAAAAAAAAAAAAAAAAAAAAAAAAUCUAUGCAUCCAUCUAUCUAUACAAACACACAUCCUCCUACUUUACAUAAAUGUACAAUUCCAUGUCUAUUCUUAGCAUGUUUUCAGUUAAAAUUAGAUUACUGAUGUUUACAAGAAGCACGGUCAAAUGAUUUUUUUCAUUUUAUGUCAAUGUUUACACGCCAACCCUCCAGAAGGUUGGGACAAUGGGAAGAGGGCAUUGGACUGGAUGUAAAGCCUGAGGCCAGGGGUCUAGUUUUGUUAGGGUCUAGAUUCUCACCCCAGAAUCUUACCCCCUCAGGCAAUCACUCAAAUUGAAAUAUCACUUCUAUUGGUCCUGAUACUCUACUUCAGUAGUUAUCUUACUUCUUCCUUUGAAUGUAAACCAUUUAUAGCUAAGUAGAGUAUAUUUUAGUAUAAGAACACAGUGAAGGCUGGGUGCGGUGGCUCACACCUGUAAUCCCAGCACUUUGGGAGGCCGAGGCGGGCGGAUCACGAGGUCAAGAGCUCGAGACCAGCCUGACCAACAUAGUGAAACCCCGUCUCUACUAAAAAUAUAAAAAUUAGCUGGGCGUAGUGGCGCGCGCCUGUAAUCCCAGCUACUUGGGAGGCUGGGGCAGGAGAAUCGCUUGAACCUGGGAGGCGGAGGUUGCAGUGAGUGGAGAUCGCAACACUGCAUUCCAGCCUGGGCGACAGGGCGAGACUCCGUCUCAAAAAACAAACAAACAAAAAACACAUAGUGAAGACCAAACAAAAUUUCAUCUGUACUAAUAAUGACUCACGGUGGGCCAGAGCUCAAGUCAGUAUGUAAUAAGAAAGCAAAGGGAAAAAAAAAAUCAUUUACUUCACUAAAACUUCUGUUGUUUCUUUAAAACUCUAAACAAAAUUGACCCUAUAAGUAAAGAUAUUCAUUCUUAUCAUUUUUUAACAAGCAAAUUUUAAUAAUGCCUUUUAUUUCUAUACAAAGCAAUGUAACUUUCU
RNAcentral lists this long non-coding RNA (3221 nucleotides) under Homo sapiens (human). RNAcentral's name for it is "HSALNT0095555". Lineage: Eukaryota; Metazoa; Chordata; Mammalia; Primates; Hominidae. The record is from RNAcentral.